RNAcentral lists this ribosomal RNA (231 nucleotides) under uncultured bacterium. RNAcentral's name for it is "partial 16S ribosomal RNA". It matches the Rfam family "Bacterial small subunit ribosomal RNA", at positions 118 to 347 of the family's 1533-position model. The record is from RNAcentral.
UAAGGAACCUGCCCUGUAGACCGGAAUAACCAUGGGAAACUGUGGCUAAUGCCGGAUGAUCUCCGCAGCCCGCAUGGGUUGCAGAGGAAAUGGUCAGCCGCUACAGGAUGGCCUCGCGGCCUAUCAGCUUGUUGGCGGGGUAACGCCCACCAAGGCGACGACGGGUANCUGGCGUGAGAGCGCGACCAGCCACACUGGGACUGAGACACCGGCCCAGACCUCGUACGGGGA